CAGGCACACUGGGGCUCACAGCCCGUGGUCACCACCGUGGUUAUGGGGGCCGAUGUGGGGCUGCUGGGCAGCAGGGUCGAGGUGCGGGUCUUGCUGGGUGUGGCCGUGGCCGUGGUCCUGGAGGUGGCCCUGGUGUGGCCCGGGGUGGUCGUCCCUGGAGAAGGGGGUGACUCGGUGGUCCUGCUGCUAGGGUGAGGGCUGGACAGGGCUGGAGUCGAGUGCUGGGUGGUACCGGUGGUUGCUGCUGGGGUGUGGGAAGUCCCCGUGGAAGGCUCUGUGAUGUG
RNAcentral lists this long non-coding RNA (284 nucleotides) under Homo sapiens (human). Its description in RNAcentral is "LNC_000679". Lineage: Eukaryota; Metazoa; Chordata; Mammalia; Primates; Hominidae. The record is from RNAcentral.